UACAUGGGGUGCAAACGUUGCUCGGAAUUAUUGGGCGUAAAGCGCACGUAGGCGGUUUGUUAAGUCGGAUGUGAAAUCCCUCGGCUCAACUGAGGAAGUGCAUCCGAAACUGGCAGGCUUGAGUACUAAAGAGGGUCGCGGAAUUCCCGGUGUAGAGGUGAAAUUCGUAGAUAUCGGGAGGAACACCGGUGGCGAAGGCGGCGACCUGGGUAGAUACUGACGCUGAGGUGCGAAAGCGUGGGGAGCAACAG
RNAcentral lists this ribosomal RNA (251 nucleotides) under uncultured bacterium. RNAcentral's name for it is "partial 16S ribosomal RNA". It matches the Rfam family "Bacterial small subunit ribosomal RNA", at positions 524 to 774 of the family's 1533-position model. The record is from RNAcentral.